RNAcentral lists this ribosomal RNA (497 nucleotides) under uncultured bacterium. RNAcentral describes it as "partial 16S ribosomal RNA". It matches the Rfam family "Bacterial small subunit ribosomal RNA", at positions 28 to 507 of the family's 1533-position model. The record is from RNAcentral.
GAUGAACGCUGGCGGCGUGCCUAAUACAUGCAAGUCGAGCGAACGGACGAGAAGCUUGCUUCUCUGAUGUUAGCGGCGGACGGGUGAGUAACACGUGGAUAACCUACCUAUAAGACUGGGAUAACUUCGGGAAACCGGAGCUAAUACCGGAUAAUAUUUUGAACCGCAUGGUUCAAAAGUAAAAGACGGUCUUGCUGUCACUUAUAGAUGGAUCCGCGCUGCAUUAGCUAGUUGGUAAGGUAACGGCUUACCAAGGCAACGAUGCAUAGCCGACCUGAGAGGGUGAUCGGCCACACUGGAACUGAGACACGGUCCAGACUCCUACGGGAGGCAGCAGUAGGGAAUCUUCUGCAAUGGGCGAAAGCCUGACGGAGCAACGCCGCGUGAGUGAUGAAGGUCUUCGGAUCGUAAAACUCUGUUAUUAGGGAAGAACAUAUGUGUAAGUAACUGUGCACAUCUUGACGGUACCUAAUCAGAAAGCCACGGCUAACUACGUG